This 74-nucleotide transfer RNA is filed under the name Candidatus Woesebacteria bacterium GWA1_41_8. RNAcentral describes it as "tRNA-Ala". It matches the Rfam family "tRNA". From Rfam's summary of the family: Transfer RNA (tRNA) molecules are approximately 80 nucleotides in length. Their secondary structure includes four short double-helical elements and three loops (D, anti-codon, and T loops). The record is from RNAcentral. Lineage: Bacteria; Candidatus Woeseibacteriota.
GGGCUCAUAGGUAAACGGUAUACCGCUACAUUCGCAUUGUAGAAUUCUGGGUUCAAUUCCCAGUGAGUCCACUA